This 442-nucleotide ribosomal RNA is filed under the name uncultured Caldilineaceae bacterium. Its description in RNAcentral is "bacterial SSU rRNA". It matches the Rfam family "Bacterial small subunit ribosomal RNA", at positions 925 to 1382 of the family's 1533-position model. The record is from RNAcentral. Lineage: Bacteria; Bacillati; Chloroflexota; Caldilineae; Caldilineales; Caldilineaceae.
ACAAGCAGCGGAGCGUGUGGUUUAAUUCGAUGCUACACGAGAGCCUUACCUGGGUUUGACAUGUACGUAGUAGUUGAACCGAAGGGAACGAGCUUCGGGCAGCGUACACAGGUGCUGCAUGGCUGUCGUCAGCUCGUGCCGUGAGGUGUUGGGUUAAGUCCCGCAACGAGCGCAACCCUCAUCGCUAGUUACAUGUGUCUAGCGAGACUGCCAGGUUAACCCUGGAGGAAGGUGGGGAUGACGUCAAGUCAGCAUGGCCUUUAUGCCCAGGGCUACACACACGCUACAAUGGUCGGUACAAUGGGAUGCCAAGCCGUGAGGCGGAGCAAAUCCUCAAAAGCCGGCCUCAGUUCGAAUUGGAGGCUGCAACUCGCCUCCAUGAAGUCGGAGUUGCUAGUAACCGCAGGUCAGCUAUACUGCGGUGAAUACGUUCCCGGGGCUU